Molecule: unclassified non-coding RNA, 226 nt
Filed under: Hevea brasiliensis (rubber tree)
Lineage: Eukaryota; Viridiplantae; Streptophyta; Magnoliopsida; Malpighiales; Euphorbiaceae
Source: RNAcentral
UUGUAACAGAAUUUCGCCCACGGAAGCCAAUCCACCCAACUCUUACUUUUUUCUCCUACAAAGCAACGCAAAUACAUUUUAAUGGUGCGAUUGAUGACCUCUGUUUGCCCAUUGGACUAGGGCUGGUAAGCAGAGGCAAAAGCCAAUUUGGUACCAUAGAGGCAAAAGAGUUCUUACCAGAGGUGGCUUGUAAAUACCACAUCACAGUCACUGACAAUGGUUUUAG